UUCUUUACAUUGAAAGAAGGUUCUUCAGAUUAUAAAAAGGUAAGAGAUCAUUCUUUAAAGUGCCCCUAUUAUGGAUUUUUUUUAAUAAUGACCUUUCAUGCAGUGUGUAACAGCUUUAAAUGAUCCUGCAAAAAGUAAAUUUGAAAGUGUACUGGGUUUAAAGUUACUGUCUCUUAAAAAAAAAAGAAUCAACUGAAUCGUUGAAACAAGUCAGUUUUACGAGUCCCAAUGUUGACAUGAAAAAAUGAAAUUGAACAAUUAGCAUAUUAAAAUACGGUAAAAAUAAAUGCACAUUAUAAUAAAAUAAAAAGUGUUAUUUGUCCUUGCAUUUAUGUCAACCUAUUGUUUGGCACUCACAAAAUAAAAUAUUUGAACGUUUCAUAACCCAUAAUAGUGGCACUUUAAAGAACCUUUGACUGAACGGUUCUUUGUGGGCCCAAAUCUGCUCUCCUAUGGCAUCAUUGUGAAGAACAUUUUAAGCACCUUUAUUUUAUUUAUUUAUGUAUUAUUUAUUAUUCAGUGUUUGCCACUUGCAAAAAUGAUUUUGCUUGAUGGUUCAUGUGCUUAAAACUCAUAAUUACAAUAUUUAUCUCCAUUUGUAGGGCACUACAGUUUCAAGUGAAGUUUUUAAACUUAAAAUUAAAUUGCAUUUAAUGGCUCACAAUCUUGUUGCAUUUCUAAAUCAAGCAGUGUAUAUGAACAAAUCGGAUCAGCUAAUGAUUAGAGACCAGAACUGACUGCUGUAAAAAACAUUCUUCAUCUGAGCCUUUAUCUUAACUCGUAUGACAUCCUCUCUCAUCAAAAGACCAGAAAAGCGUUCGGUAUAAAAGAACAGCUCAUUUUUAGGGCCGUCUAAAAGAGCAGUAUGCUUCCUGAUAGCCCGAGCCGUUUGAUUGCUCACACUGUGUGACUAUGGCAUUGUAAUGUGUGUGAUUGUGUGGGCCUGAACAGCAUACAUAAUGAAGACACAGUGUGGGUGUGUGAGACGGCAUGAGAGGAUCCAUGACACCUGCCACUGUGCCUCAAUCCCACGCUCUUUCUUUGCUCUUCUCUUAUGCACUCCUUCUUGUGAAUCGCAUUAUUUCCCAUCAAUCUAUCUUUCUUCCUUUUGGCUGCGCAAUCGUGUCGUUGCCCACUCAGAUACAGCUGCUUUUAUCCCAGCAGAGGGUCUCAGGCCAUCCGGCACCGUGUCCAGAUUCCCAAUAAAAUACAGACGCAAACAUUUGUGGAAAUAUUACCCGCAGCGAUGCGCUGUGAAAUGUACAUGCUAAGGAUAUGUUAAGUGACGUGCGGUCCUCUGCCUAAGCUUCUCGGCUUCGAGAUUGAUAUUAAUCAUGAAUCGCAAGAGGGCAGAAUAUUUGAGCCGAGUCUGAUCUGACACUACCAUCCCAUCAUCGAGAGACAGAAUAGCUUGGGGCUAAUACAGUACACUGUUACCCAGUGGACGGACGAAUGUAGCUUGAAGAAGCAAACAUACAUGAAACAUGACGGAAAGUCAUCUUCCUUUAAGAUUGCACUACGUGAUCUUUUUCGUGCUAUUACAGGGGUUAGAAGCUUUCGAGAUAAAAAAAAAAAGAAAAAUCACUGAAAAAUUACGUUUUGUAAAAUGAAUACUAUAACUCUGUGUAAGGAAAUAUACUGAAAUUGAAUUCACUGAGUCGAACUUGAAAUAUAUGUGUGUGUUUUUUAAUGAAGAAAUAAAGGAACACGUGAACUGGAUGAAAUCCAUAAAGACAAAUACUGAUAUGAAAAAAUACUGACUUUAAAGAAUGAUUUGUUUACAUGUUUGUUUCUCAUAAAGACAUAAAGUCACUCUUUUAUUUAUAAAUCAUAAUUGGAAAUUAUGAGAUAAAAAUCUAACUUAUGACAAACUAAGUAACAUUAUUUUAACAUAAACAGUCAGAAUUAUGACACCUAUAAAUAAUCUGGUGGAAAAAGACUUCCUUAUAGGUCAUUAUGAAAACAUUAAAAUGCGUCAUUAUUCACAGAAAAUCUUGACGAUCAUAACCUAAAAAGCUUUGUAUUAUUUUUGACACACUAUUUUGACACACUUCCCAGCUUUGUCACAAUCUGCAUUGGAAAAAGCACUAUAUGAAUAUUGGUGUCUUGACUCAGUAAAGAUUUAUUGGACCAGUUUAUUGUGAUUUUGCAGCCUUUACAAUAUAAGCUUAUUUCACCCAAAAAUUUGUGACAACAGUGAACAAUUUCUUGUAAUUAUGACUUUUUACAAGUGAAGGGACCCCAAAAAUAUAUCUUAUGUUUAAUGCUAAGUAUAAUACCAAGUAUUAAUGUAUUUAUUUUAUUUUAUUUUUAAAGAAAAAAAUAGCAACAGUUGCGUUCAAGUGUUUUCAAUAUAGGUGUCCUAUUGCAAGCCAGUGACUGUUGAGCUUGACGUUGCGUCGUAACGUAAGUCACGUAAUGACUCGAUCACGUUACGACUCACCUGGCGUGAGUGUGCGCUUCCAUCAAGAUCUAUCGUCGGGGGUCAUUCUUCAGACUGUUUAUUUACAGAAAUAUAAGGCCCAAAGUGUUUCGUGACGAUUCUUGUUUUGUUUUGUGUUACUAUUUAAAGUGCAUCUUUUUUUUUUUGAUUAAUCCCGCGAGUCAUUACUUAAUUACGCCGGUUAUCUUCAGGAACUGUGUUUGUGAAGUAACCAGAAUAGUUUGUUGCGUGAGGGACUGAACGGAGUCGUGUUCUUCGUCGCCGGAAGCGGAUCGGCUGCAUUCAUCGCGUGCUCCAGACGGAUCGUGACGGGACGAGGAGCGCUCGCGGUGUCAGGAACGUGGGAUUGAUUCACUGAUUUUCAUCGGAAGAACGUCUCUUUUCUGAAGCUCGGAUCUCUCUGCACAAGCUGGAGAAAGCCAAGAGACUGCUGAUCUUUGCAGGGGGAUUAGGUUGGUGUGAAACAAGGCUCCUUUAUCAGUCCCAGCUCUGCCACCCCUUAGACGCUCCGUAAUCCCUACAAAGAGAACCAAGAGAGGGAGACAAACAGACAUAUUCGGUAUCGUCUCAUACAUUCGCCAUUUAUCUCUCUGAGGCGGCGGUUUCCAUGGCAACACCGGGCAUUUGUUUGACGGACGGUGACUGGUUUAAUCCCCGCUGCCCUGCAUCAUCUCCCCAACGCCCCACCAUCUCUGACUGGCAGUGUGAAAAUUACAUUGAUUUCAU
Puntigrus tetrazona (Sumatra barb) is the source of this 3169-nucleotide long non-coding RNA. RefSeq lists it as uncharacterized. Lineage: Eukaryota; Metazoa; Chordata; Actinopteri; Cypriniformes; Cyprinidae. The transcript has 4 exons. The record is from RefSeq and is a predicted model, not a curated record.